AUAUAAAACAGGAAACAGCGAUUCAGGGAGGAGCACGGAGGAGUGACUGAACUACAGAAGAGAGAAAACCUUCCACGUUUCAUUAACAGACCACAAAGGUUAAAGAUUUCCAACAUGCUGCCACUGGACUGUUAUCUUAUUUCUCUACUGAUGAUGACUUCUCUAACAGGAGUCAGAUGUGAAGAACUCACUGCAGACAACGAAGACACGUCCAGUUUAGAAAGCAGCGCUGUUACUCUGUCCUACAGAUACUCCAAACAAGCGUAUGAAAGCGAUGAAUUUUACUGGUAUCGACAACAUCCAGGAAAAGCACCAGAGCUCCUGAUCGCUCACAUGGGAUCAAAGAAUUUAAUGAAACGAGAAUCCUCCAGAGUGUCUUUCAAAGUGCUCGAUGACAGAAGACAAAUAACAAUUUCCUCUGCUGCAGUGACAGACUCUGCUGUGUACUACUGUGCUGUGAGGCCCACAGUGACAGGAAACACCAAAACUCUGUACAAAAACCUUUGGAGCAAAGACAACAGAAUACUCCACAACAUCCACUAGAGGGAGCCACACACCUUUGUUAGGAUACAGACUAACACAUAACACACAGCUGUGAUGAAGAGUUUCAGGUGAAGUUAAUGUGAUGUGAGCCUCCUCCUCCUCCUGACUGCAGAAACCUGUCUGACUCCAGCUGUGAACAUCAGACCACUCACAGCUAACUCCCAGUGAACAUCACUUCCAACAUUUCUCCUCUGGAAAAAUGGAAAAACUGGCUGUGAUUUGGAUCUUUGCAGCUCUCGUAGGUACGUAUGUUUCUGACAGGAACACCUGAAAUUCAAAGACAUGUUUACAGCGUUACAGAUCCAGUUUGGAUUUUCUUUGAGCUCAAGUUUGGAGUGAUGAUUAAACAGAAAAUAUUUCAAGUGUG
Molecule: non-coding RNA, 910 nt
Organism: Oreochromis aureus
Lineage: Eukaryota; Metazoa; Chordata; Actinopteri; Cichliformes; Cichlidae
Source: the annotation of a RefSeq genome assembly